Molecule: long non-coding RNA, 210 nt
Organism: Notothenia coriiceps (black rockcod)
Lineage: Eukaryota; Metazoa; Chordata; Actinopteri; Perciformes; Nototheniidae
Exons: 3
Source: RefSeq, a predicted model, not a curated record
GGGCAGGCAGGGCGGGGUGCAGAUCGACCCCUGGGAAGAUCCCGACUUCAGCAUCUACAAAGUCAUCGACCGCUUCGGCUUCAUGCAUGAAGACGAGCUGCCGGCCCCGACGGCACACGAGGAAAAGAGGAAGCAGCUGGAGAUCGAGAGGGUGGAGAAGUGGCUGAAGAUGGUGAAGAAGUGGGACAAAUACAAGAACAGUGACAGGGU